GCGGGUGUAACUCAGUUGGUAGAGUGCCAGCCUUCCAAGCUGGAUGUCGCGUGUUCGAAUCACGUCGCCCGCUCCA
This 76-nucleotide transfer RNA is filed under the name Bdellovibrionales bacterium CG11_big_fil_rev_8_21_14_0_20_38_13. RNAcentral's name for it is "tRNA-Gly". It matches the Rfam family "tRNA". From Rfam's summary of the family: Transfer RNA (tRNA) molecules are approximately 80 nucleotides in length. Their secondary structure includes four short double-helical elements and three loops (D, anti-codon, and T loops). The record is from RNAcentral. RNAcentral also lists the same sequence under 3 other names. Lineage: Bacteria; Pseudomonadati; Bdellovibrionota; Bdellovibrionia; Bdellovibrionales.